This 329-nucleotide ribosomal RNA is filed under the name uncultured eukaryote. RNAcentral describes it as "partial 18S ribosomal RNA". It matches the Rfam family "Eukaryotic small subunit ribosomal RNA", at positions 1470 to 1796 of the family's 1831-position model. The record is from RNAcentral.
CCCUUAGAUGUUCUGGGCCGCACGCGCGCUACACUGACGAUGGCAACGAGUUUUUCCUUCGCCGAAAGGUGUGGGUAAUCUUUUGAAACAUCGUCGUGCUGGUGAUAGAUCAUUGCAAUUUUUGAUCUUGAACGAGGAAUUCCUAGUAAGCGCGAGUCAUCAGCUCGCGUUGAUUACGUCCCUGCCCUUUGUACACACCGCCCGUCGCUACUACCGAUUGAAUGGUUUAGUGAGGACUCCUGAUUGGCGCCGCCGCCCCGGCAACGGAGCAGCGGACUGCCGAAAAGUUGUUCAAACUUGAUCAUUUAGAGGAAGUAAAAGUCGUAACA